RNAcentral lists this unclassified non-coding RNA (252 nucleotides) under plant metagenome. Its description in RNAcentral is "partial contains small subunit ribosomal RNA, internal transcribed spacer 1, and 5.8S ribosomal RNA". The stretch from base 1 to 53 matches the Rfam family "Eukaryotic small subunit ribosomal RNA", at positions 1778 to 1831 of the family's 1831-position model. The record is from RNAcentral.
GGAAGUAAAAGUCGUACAAGGUCUCCGUUGGUGAACCAGCGGAGGGAUCAUUACAGAGUUGCAAAACUCCCAAACCAUUGUGAACGUUACCUAUCCCGUUGCUUCGGCGGGCGGCCCGGGCCCCGCGCCCGGCGCCCCCCGGCCCCCCGUGGGCGCCCGCCGGAGGUAAACCAAACCCUUGAAUUGCAUGGCCUCUCUGAGUCUUCUGUACUGAAUAAGUCAAAACUUUCAACAACGGAUCUCUUGGUUCUG